RNAcentral lists this ribosomal RNA (484 nucleotides) under uncultured bacterium. RNAcentral's name for it is "partial 16S ribosomal RNA". It matches the Rfam family "Bacterial small subunit ribosomal RNA", at positions 30 to 507 of the family's 1533-position model. The record is from RNAcentral.
AUUGAACGCUAGCGGGAUGCCUUACACAUGCCAGUCGAACGGCAGCACGGACUUCGGUCUGGUGGCGAGUGGCGAACGGGUGAGUAAUGUAUCGGAACGUGCCCAGUAGCGGGGGAUAACUACGCGAAAGCGUAGCUAAUACCGCAUACGCCCUACGGGGGAAAGCAGGGGAUCGCAAGACCUUGCACUAUUGGAGCGGCCGAUAUCGGAUUAGCUAGUUGGUGGGGUAACGGCUCACCAAGGCGACGAUCCGUAGCUGGUUUGAGAGGACGACCAGCCACACUGGGACUGAGACACGGCCCAGACUCCUACGGGAGGCAGCAGUGGGGAAUUUUGGACAAUGGGGGAAACCCUGAUCCAGCCAUCCCGCGUGUGCGAUGAAGGCCUUCGGGUUGUAAAGCACUUUUGGCAGGAAAGAAACGUCGCGGGUUAAUACCUCGCGAAACUGACGGUACCUGCAGAAUAAGCACCGGCUAACUACGUG